RNAcentral lists this long non-coding RNA (1186 nucleotides) under Anser cygnoides (Swan goose). Its description in RNAcentral is "lncRNA (ENSACDG00005005194.1)". The record is from RNAcentral. Lineage: Eukaryota; Metazoa; Chordata; Aves; Anseriformes; Anatidae.
AUGUUAUACCCAUUGGCUCUCCAGCCCUUCAGGAACAUCCAGUGUAAAGGAUGGAUAUCCAGUGUUUGUCUGCAGAUGAGCUUGUUCCUUGAGGAUUCAACCCUGAGAUGCAUUUCUCCUCAGGGGCACCCUGAGCGGAGUACCAACUUGGUGAUCAAGGGUGCAGCCUGCUGCAAUCACUGGUGAGCUCAAAAAGUUCUUGUUUGGAAUCACUGUUUAUAGGAUUGCAUGGACAUUGUCUUUUGGUCAUUAAUUUUAAAGGAUUCAGGUCUUUUUCGAAUUAGUUUAAGAAUAAGGUUGUGCAGUCCCCCUCCCCUUAGAAAGUAACUGUGUUUGUCAGUUCGUCAUACCACAGGGUCCAGUUGUGGUCGGGGAGAGGCUUGAUCAUCCGAGGCCUAUACCAUAUGAACAAAAGGUGUUAAAGGGACUGAAGCAAGACGUAAGGCUUCACUGCACUCUGCAGAUAACAUUGGAAUGGUGUCAAGAUAACUCUUCCUUUGGUUACGAAGAGAAACGAGAUGAGACGCCAUAUUUAUUAAAUUGGCUGAUUGAUUUGUAGUCAAACUCAAAUUCCUUCAUUACUGCCCAUGACAGAUUUAAUGGGAAUAGUAUGCCUGAGGCACUAUUAUUAACAAGCUGUCCAGUUCAAGGAGUGAUCACAUUGAGACCUGCCGUGGCUCACAAGCCUGAGCAAGACUUAAGCCAUGUGUAGGAGCAGAGCGUACCUGCCAUAACUUGACUCUCGUAUUAAUAUUUUCAAUUUAAUCACAGAAUUGUAGGGGUUGGAAGUGACCUCAAGAGAUCAUCGGGUUCAACCACCCUGCCAAAGUAGGUUCCCUAGAGCAGGUAAAUAGUCUCAAUACAAAUUAAGCCUCACCAGCAAUAUUGUUGAAAUCAUUUUAUUUGCCCUUUCUACUAUCUACCCUUUCCUCUGGUGCUGUAUUCACCUUCUGUGCCCAAACAUCAACAGGACCAACCUCCUUUCAACAAUAGUGAGGGGUGUCACAGCAAGCCCUUGCCAACCUGGGGCCUGCACUAGGGGAGUUCCUCACUGGUGGUUGGGGGUUCCUUCCUUUUCAGUCAUGGAAUCUGCCGUGGGGUUGCUGCCUUCUGGCUGCUCCCAGCAGAGUGUUAUCAACACUUCUACCCACAAAUUCAAAAUACAUCAGCAUAUGAGAUUCUAUGA